GGGGAAUUAGCUCAGUUGGUAGAGUAUUUGCAUGGCAUGCAAAGGGUCACCGGUUCGAAUCCGGUAUUCUCCA
This 73-nucleotide transfer RNA is filed under the name Chitinophagaceae bacterium. RNAcentral's name for it is "tRNA-Ala". It matches the Rfam family "tRNA". Rfam says of the family: Transfer RNA (tRNA) molecules are approximately 80 nucleotides in length. Their secondary structure includes four short double-helical elements and three loops (D, anti-codon, and T loops). The record is from RNAcentral. Lineage: Bacteria; Pseudomonadati; Bacteroidota; Chitinophagia; Chitinophagales; Chitinophagaceae. RNAcentral also lists the same sequence under 6 other names.